UUGCCUCAGCACCUAGGUAAUCCUCCGCCCG
This 31-nucleotide non-coding RNA is filed under the name Homo sapiens (human). Lineage: Eukaryota; Metazoa; Chordata; Mammalia; Primates; Hominidae. The record is from RNAcentral.